UUCCACUGAAGAAUGUGACCCAACGGUAGAGGAUUCGUUCUUCCUGCAUGAAGAAAUAGAGUUAAUCUAAGAAAUUAUCAUAAAAGAAGAGAACUUUCCUUGCUAGCUGCAAUAGGGUAAAGAUGAGAGCUGGAAACAACCUUUGACUUCUUAUUGUCCAUAAUGACCAUACGAUGUAGGCUGCAAGAGAGUGAGUGCCCUCUCUACCAAGGUAUUGAUCGGUAAAUUAACCAAUGCUGGCGCAAAGAGGUGGGGAAAAGGCUCAUCAAAGUAUUCAUGAGCUAGGAGCUACAAAUUAACAUGAUUG
Molecule: long non-coding RNA, 307 nt
Filed under: Elaeis guineensis (African oil palm)
Lineage: Eukaryota; Viridiplantae; Streptophyta; Magnoliopsida; Arecales; Arecaceae
Description: long non-coding RNA (EGUI_LNC030475)
Source: RNAcentral